Molecule: long non-coding RNA, 1230 nt
Organism: Neofelis nebulosa (Clouded leopard)
Lineage: Eukaryota; Metazoa; Chordata; Mammalia; Carnivora; Felidae
Exons: 4
Source: RefSeq, a predicted model, not a curated record
UAUUCAGGUCUGGGAGUGUCCACAAAUGGAUCCAUCCAUGUGACUAUUCUCACAAUCAGAAUAUAGAACACUUCCAUGAUCCCCAAAUUCCAUUGUGCCCCUUUUACAGUGAGACCCCAUAUUAGUCAGGAUUCUCCAGGGAAACAGAACCAAUAGGAUAUAUACAGAUAGACAUAAAAGGAAAUUCAUCAUAGGAACUGACUCAUGCAGUUAUGGAGGCAAUAACUCUCAUAACCUUCCAUCUGCAAACUGGAGACCUAGGACAGACAGUGGUGUAAUUUAACCCAAGUCCAAGGGCUUGAGAACAUGGGGAGCUGAUGGUAUAAGUCCCCAUCCGAUUCUGGAUGUCCAAGAGCCAGGAGUGCCAAAGGAGGAGGGCAGGAGAAGAAGGAUAUCCCAGCUCAGAUAAGGACACAGAGGCUCGGAGAAGAAAAGCAAGCCACUGAAGGUUGCCCAGUGAGGAAACAGGUUCCGUCAUUGCCCAGGCACAUGACUAAGAAGUAGAGAAGGUCAAAUCCCAGCCUGGAUCUAGCUGACCCUAAAGUCCACGGUUUCACCCAAUACUCUGUGAUGAUGGAAGUGAAGCUCAGAAUGAAUGAAGAACCAAAUGAAGAUCAGACAGCCAGUGAGUAGCCUAUAAUUGAACCCAAGAACUUGGAUUCUAGAGCCUGAGCUCUUAAUCACCCACCAUACUGCUAAGAUCUAAUCCUCAGCACCUAACGAGGAAUCACGCAGUAAGUAGCUUCCUGCAGGAGCCAUUGUCAGAGGAGAGGCAUGGUGCUGGUUCUGUUUCCCCAGACAUGGAAACUGACAGUCCUGGACCUGCCCUGACUACUGAUCCUUGUGAUUCUUCCUGGGCCCUGGCCAGGGUGAGGGUAUAGUGGCCACAGUUCGCACAGCUCGGACAGCCCCAAGCUAACAGGCACAAGGAAGAAGCAAACUGAAGCCUUUCUCUCAACAACUUGUGCCCAUCACUAGGAGUCAACCAGCCUGGACACUGCCUUGCAUGCUGUGCGUUGUGGCAUCGGGGAAAGACUUAAUGUUGGAGUCAAAUCUGGGUUCCAAUCCAUCACUUAAACUUAGCAGCUGGAUGGGCUUGGGCAAGGUGGGUAAACUUACUGACCCUUGGUUUCCCAUUCGUAAAAAAUGAUAAUAUGAGUCUCAUAAUAUGGAGACCAAACACAGCAAACGACCUGAGGUGUGUUAAGGCAGUAGCCUGCACACAGUGGA